RNAcentral lists this long non-coding RNA (369 nucleotides) under Astyanax mexicanus (Mexican tetra). RNAcentral describes it as "lncRNA (ENSAMXG00005022843.1)". The record is from RNAcentral. Lineage: Eukaryota; Metazoa; Chordata; Actinopteri; Characiformes; Acestrorhamphidae.
CUAGAACAUCCUCUCAGAACUGCAGAGGACUGAGUGAUUUCACAGCUGCUGCUGUCUUGUGUUUUCAUUUCUCUACGGUUUUACAGGUGAGAUGGGAAUGCUGGAGGGAGAGAUGUUUUCAAUUGUCCUCUCCUGACACGGCUUGAAGAUCUAAUCUCAGGAAUGACACAGGAAUCUGAGAGUCUGCUACAAUGGCAGCGGCGGUGUGUGCUUCACAGGAGGGACUACAAGCCAUGCUCCACUCGUCCAUCUUUGGUGAUCAGAUCAUCGGUGGCGUUGUCGGCUGGAUACCCAGGCUACUAAGAAUGAGUCUUCAUAGGACAGUCAUACAGAGAACCCGGCCUACCUCGACUGCAGCCUAAGACUUGG